GAUGAACGCUGGCGGCUUUCCUCCUACAUUCAAUUCGAGCGAACAUACGAGGAGCUUUCUCCUCUGACGUUAGCGGCGGACGGGUGAGUAACACGUGGAUAACCUACCUAUAAGACUGGGAUAACUUCGUGAAACCGGAGCUAAUCCCGGAUAAUAUAUUUAACCGCAUGGUUCAAUAGUUAAAGACGGUUUUGCUGUCACUUAUAGAUGGAUCCGCGCCGCCUUAGCUAGUUGGUAAGGUAACGGCUUACCAAGGCAACGAUGCGUAGCCGACCUGAGAGGGUGAGAGGCCACAGUGGAACUGAGACACGGACCAGACUCAUACGGGAGGCAGCAGUAGGGAAUCUUAAGCAAUGGGCGAAAGCCUGAAGGAGCAACGCCGAGUGAGUGAUGAAGGUCUUCGGAUAGUAAAAAGAGGGUAUGAGGGAAGAACAAAUGUGUAAGUAACUAUGAACGUCUUGAAGGUACCUAAGCAGAAAGCCAAGGCGAACUACGUG
This 497-nucleotide ribosomal RNA is filed under the name uncultured bacterium. RNAcentral's name for it is "partial 16S ribosomal RNA". It matches the Rfam family "Bacterial small subunit ribosomal RNA", at positions 28 to 507 of the family's 1533-position model. The record is from RNAcentral.